Small nuclear RNA from Lemur catta (Ring-tailed lemur), 141 nucleotides. RefSeq annotates it as U4 spliceosomal RNA. The transcript has a single exon. The record is from RefSeq and is a predicted model, not a curated record. Lineage: Eukaryota; Metazoa; Chordata; Mammalia; Primates; Lemuridae.
AGCUUUGUGCAGUGGCAGUAUUGUAGCCAAUGAGGUUUAUCUGAGGCACAAUUAUUGCUAAUUGAAAGCUUUUCCCAAUACCCUGCCGUGACGGCUUAAAAUGUAGUCAGCAUUGGCAAUUUUUGACAGUCUCUACAGAGA